UUUAUGAAAGGAGACAAAAAA
This is a non-coding RNA of Caenorhabditis elegans, 21 nucleotides long. The record is from Ensembl. NCBI's taxonomy places the organism in Eukaryota, Metazoa, Nematoda, Chromadorea, Rhabditida, Rhabditidae.